RNAcentral lists this transfer RNA (86 nucleotides) under Acidobacteriota bacterium. Its description in RNAcentral is "Acidobacteria bacterium tRNA-Leu". It matches the Rfam family "tRNA". Rfam says of the family: Transfer RNA (tRNA) molecules are approximately 80 nucleotides in length. Their secondary structure includes four short double-helical elements and three loops (D, anti-codon, and T loops). RNAcentral also lists the same sequence under 1 other name. The record is from RNAcentral. Lineage: Bacteria; Pseudomonadati; Acidobacteriota.
GCCCGAGUGGCGGAAUGGUAGACGCAGAGGUCUCAAAAACCUCCGGUUGCAAGGCCGUGCCGGUUCGAGUCCGGCCUCGGGCACCA